GUUGACUGAGUCGGGAUGAACCUGCCCUCCACGUCAAGGGUAUCGCAGGAUGUUAUAGUUACUGCGCGGCAUAGAAAAGCAACGACCAGUGAGGAAAUCAUUUGACUCAUCUUCUCAAGGUCCCCGAAGUCUCCACAGGGCCUUGUCCUUGUAGCACAAGACUGCUGAUGCCACGCGGUGCACUGAGAGGCCUGCGCAUGGAUAAAUAUUUGAGUAUGUGUGAGUGGCGAAAGCGAGAUGACUCUCAGCCUGUCAGUUGUGUUUGGAGUCCUGGCAUCAAGCAGGGACCUGCUCAGUGACACCGGGAGCCAAGGCUCAUAGACAAUGUGAAGUGGAGGUGAGGCCCAGGCGGCAUAGCUGCGGCGUUCUGACCUGUGCCCUGACUCACACAUCAUGUAGCUCCCCGGCGCCAGAGGACCUCCUGACCGUGAUGAGUUUUGACUCCUGUCACCUUUGGGUGUCGUCAAGAUCCUAUGACAUGGACAGUAUUUUUUUCUUUCUUUCUUUUUGAGCGAGGUUGACCACCAUCCCCGCAAGUGAAGAAAGGAGAGAGGAGACUUUGCAAACAGAAUUAAAACGACUGAAAACAAAACAGAGCUUUUGCUAAACGUUUGCGCUGCUCAUGCUUCCUCUAAUGUCGUCUUCUCAGUCACUGUCAGAAAACCCUUUCAUACACCGGUACAACAAUAACUUGGAAUGGACAAAAUUUUCAUCAUUGACAUGUCAUAAAAACAGAGUGGCCAUUAUUUUCUUUUGGAA
Molecule: long non-coding RNA, 759 nt
Organism: Mugil cephalus (flathead mullet)
Lineage: Eukaryota; Metazoa; Chordata; Actinopteri; Mugiliformes; Mugilidae
Exons: 3
Source: RefSeq, a predicted model, not a curated record